Molecule: long non-coding RNA, 692 nt
Organism: Magnolia sinica
Lineage: Eukaryota; Viridiplantae; Streptophyta; Magnoliopsida; Magnoliales; Magnoliaceae
Exons: 2
Source: RefSeq, a predicted model, not a curated record
UUCUUGAAGCUAUUCGAGUGAUAUGCAGAGAUUGGGUGAAUCGCUCUUGUAAAUUGCGGAAAAGACUCUCAACUCUACAUCUAUCAGGCAAGUACACACUUAAGAUGAAGUUGUUGGGCGGGAACGGGAACCAAAUGACUUGCAUCACCUUCGAUUUCUCAAUUGGGUUCGGAUCACCCAUCAGCGAGGGUUAAGGUCGAGGCAUGGAUGGGGGACAGCUCUCGUCUACAUCUCGUGUAAGUUUCGAAUUUGAAUCACUACGUGGAUAGUUAAUUUCACUCGAAUAUUGUGAUCGUUCUAGCAGAACUCUGUAUGUAUGCUCAUUCUCCUUUGGAUUGUGAAAACACAAGCAAAUGCUAUAUCCACCUAUUUAGAUGAUAUUACAUUGUUCAUAUUUAGAAGUUAUUGGGUUUGUUUGGAUGCACUAUCGUUUUGAAUUGCAAUUGUUAGUCUAAUAAAGUGGGUUAAAAAAAAGUUCAAAUCAUGAACUUCUCUAGCAUUUAUAUUUGGGGAUCAUUGCUCGAGAUUUCAAUUAGUAAUUUGAUGUGGGAUGUGAAAGGAAAUGCAACUACGAAUUGAGGGCUACUUCCUGUUAUGAAUACUAGGAAACAUCAUUCAUUUAUGUUAUUUCCUCAUUUAACAAACUGUUCAGAAUUCAAUUUGCUCAUGCAUCCAAGCACAGCCUUUGUGUA